RNAcentral lists this ribosomal RNA (448 nucleotides) under uncultured bacterium. RNAcentral's name for it is "bacterial SSU rRNA". It matches the Rfam family "Bacterial small subunit ribosomal RNA", at positions 329 to 794 of the family's 1533-position model. The record is from RNAcentral.
UUCCAGACUCCUACGGGAGGCAGCAGUGGGGGAUAUUGCACAAUGGGGGAAACCCUGAUGCAGCGACGCCGCGUGAGUGAAGAAGUAUUUCGGUAUGUAAAGCUCUAUCAGCAGGGAAGAAAAUGACAGUACCUGACCAAGAAGCCCCGGCUAACUACGUGCCAGCAGCCGCGGUAAUACGUAGGGGGCAAGCGUUAUCCGGAUUUACUGGGUGUAAAGGGAGCGUAGACGGCAGCGCAAGUCUGGAGUGAAAUGCCGGGGCCCAACCCCGGAACUGCUUUGGAAACUGUGCAGCUGGAGUGCAGGAGAGGUAAGCGGAAUUCCUAGUGUAGCGGUGAAAUGCGUAGAUAUUAGGAGGAACACCAGUGGCGAAGGCGGCUUACUGGACUGUAACUGACGUUGAGGCUCGAAAGCGUGGGGAGCAAACAGGAUUAGAUACCCGUGUACC